UCCGGUUUGUCACCGGCAGUCCCAUUAGAGUGCCCAACUUAAUGCUGGCAACUAAUGGCAAGGGUUGCGCUCGUUGCGGGACUUAACCCAACAUCUCACGACACGAGCUGACGACAGCCGUGCAGCACCUGUGCAUGGAUCCCGAAGGAGGCUCCUCGUUUCUGAGGAGUUUCCCAUGCAUGUCAAGCCUAGGUAAGGUUCUUCGCGUUGCGUCGAAUUAAACCACAUGCUCCGCUGCUUGUGCGGGCCCCCGUCAAUUCCUUUGAGUUUUAGCCUUGCGGCCGUACUCCCCAGGCGGGGAACUUAAUGCGUUAGCUUCGGCACGGACGGAGUCGACACCGCCCACACCUAGUUCCCAUCGUUUACGGCGUGGACUAC
RNAcentral lists this unclassified non-coding RNA (378 nucleotides) under uncultured bacterium. RNAcentral describes it as "contains 16S-23S intergenic spacer region". The record is from RNAcentral.